UACGUGGGGGGCAAGCGUUGUUCGGAAUUACUGGGCGUAAAGGGCUCGUAGGUGGCCCACUAAGUCAGACGUGAAAUCCCCAGGCUCAACUUGGGAACUGCGUCUGAUACUGGAUGGCUUGAAUUCGGGAGAGGGAUGCAGAAUUCCAGGUGUAGCGGUGAAAUGCGUAGAUAUCUGGAGGAAUACCGGUGGCGAAGGCGGCAUCCUGGACCGAUAUUGACACUCAGUGAGCGAAAGCCAGGGGAGCAAACGGG
RNAcentral lists this ribosomal RNA (254 nucleotides) under uncultured bacterium. Its description in RNAcentral is "partial 16S ribosomal RNA". It matches the Rfam family "Bacterial small subunit ribosomal RNA", at positions 524 to 776 of the family's 1533-position model. The record is from RNAcentral.